AUUGAACGCUGGCGGCAGGCCUAACACAUGCAAGUCGGACGGUAGCACAGAGAGCUUGCUCUCGGGUGACGAGUGGCGGACGGGUGAGUAAUGUCUGGGGAUCUGCCCGAUAGGGGGGGAUAACCACUGGAAACGGUGGCUAAUACCGCAUAACGUCGCAAGACCAAAGAGGGGGACCUUCGGGCCUCUCACUAUCGGAUGAACCCAGAUGGGAUUAGCUAGUAGGCGGGGUAAUGGCCCACCUAGGCGACGAUCCCUAGCUGGUCUGAGAGGAUGACCAGCAAGCCUGGAACUGGGACACGGUCCAGACUCCGACGGGAGGCAGCAGUGGGGAAUAUUGCACAAUGGGCGCAAGCCUAAUGCAGCCAUGCCGCGUGUAUGAAGAAGGCCUUCGGGUUGUAAAGUACUUUCAGCGGGGGGGAAGGCGGUGCGGUUAAUAACCGUACCGAUUGACGUUACCCGCAGAAGAAGCACCGGCUAACUCCGUGCCAGCAGCCGCGGUAA
RNAcentral lists this ribosomal RNA (504 nucleotides) under uncultured bacterium. RNAcentral describes it as "partial 16S ribosomal RNA". It matches the Rfam family "Bacterial small subunit ribosomal RNA", at positions 29 to 523 of the family's 1533-position model. The record is from RNAcentral.